RNAcentral lists this ribosomal RNA (1393 nucleotides) under uncultured bacterium. RNAcentral describes it as "bacterial SSU rRNA". It matches the Rfam family "Bacterial small subunit ribosomal RNA". The record is from RNAcentral.
AGUUUGAUCCUGGCUCAGGAUGAACGCUAGCUACAGGCUUAACACAUGCAAGUCGAGGGGCAGCAUGGUCUUAGCUUGCUAAGGCCGAUGGCGACCGGCGCACGGGUGAGUAACACGUAUCCAACCUGCCGUCUACUCUUGGACAGCCUUCUGAAAGGAAGAUUAAUACAAGAUGGCAUCAUGAGUCCGCAUGUUCACAUGAUUAAAGGUAUUCCGGUAGACGAUGGGGAUGCGUUCCAUUAGAUAGUAGGCGGGGUAACGGCCCACCUAGUCUUCGAUGGAUAGGGGUUCUGAGAGGAAGGUCCCCCACAUUGGAACUGAGACACGGUCCAAACUCCUACGGGAGGCAGCAGUGAGGAAUAUUGGUCAAUGGGCGAGAGCCUGAACCAGCCAAGUAGCGUGAAGGAUGACUGCCCUAUGGGUUGUAAACUUCUUUUAUAAAGGAAUAAAGUCGGGUAUGCAUACUCGUUUGCAUGUACUUUAUGAAUAAGGAUCGGCUAACUCCGUGCCAGCAGCCGCGGUAAUACGGAGGAUCCGAGCGUUAUCCGGAUUUAUUGGGUUUAAAGGGAGCGUAGAUGGAUGUUUAAGUCAGUUGUGAAAGUUUGCGGCUCAACCGUAAAAUUGCAGUUGAUACUGGAUAUCUUGAGUGCAGUUGAGGCAGGCGGAAUUCGUGGUGUAGCGGUGAAAUGCUUAGAUAUCACGAAGAACUCCGAUUGCGAAGGCAGCCUGCUAAGCUGCAACUGACAUUGAGGCUCGAAAGUGUGGGUAUCAAACAGGAUUAGAUACCCUGGUAGUCCACACGGUAAACGAUGAAUACUCGCUGUUUGCGAUAUACAGCAAGCGGCCAAGCGAAAGCGUUAAGUAUUCCACCUGGGGAGUACGCCGGCAACGGUGAAACUCAAAGGAAUUGACGGGGGCCCGCACAAGCGGAGGAACAUGUGGUUUAAUUCGAUGAUACGCGAGGAACCUUACCCGGGCUUAAAUUGCAGAUGAAUUACGGUGAAAGCCGUAAGCCGCAAGGCAUCUGUGAAGGUGCUGCAUGGUUGUCGUCAGCUCGUGCCGUGAGGUGUCGGCUUAAGUGCCAUAACGAGCGCAACCCUUGUUGUCAGUUACUAACAGGUUCCGCUGAGGACUCUGACAAGACUGCCAUCGUAAGAUGUGAGGAAGGUGGGGAUGACGUCAAAUCAGCACGGCCCUUACGUCCGGGGCUACACACGUGUUACAAUGGGGGGUACAGAGGGCCGCUACCACGCGAGUGGAUGCCAAUCCCAAAAACCUCUCUCAGUUCGGACUGGAGUCUGCAACCCGACUCCACGAAGCUGGAUUCGCUAGUAAUCGCGCAUCAGCCACGGCGCGGUGAAUACGUUCCCGGGCCUUGUACACACCGCCCGUC